CCCAGACUCCUACGGGAGGCAGAAGUGGGGAAUAUUGCACAAUAGGCGGAAGCCUGAUGGAGCGACGCCACGUGAGGGAUGACGGCCUUCGGGUUGUAAACCUCUUUCAGCAGGGACGAAGCGUAAGUGACGGUACCGGCAGGAGAAGGGCCGGCCAACUACGUGCCAGCAGACGCGGUAAGACGUAGGGGGCGAGCGUUGUGCGGAUUUAUUGGGCAUAAAGAGCUCGUAGGCGGCUUGUCGCGUCGACUGUGAAAACCCGCAGCUCAACUGCAGGCCUGCAGCCGAUACGGGCAGGGAAGAGUUCGGUAGGGGAGACUGGAAUUCCUGGUGUAGCGGUGAAAUGCGCAAAUAUCAGGAGGAACACCGGUGGCGAAGGCGGGUCUCUGGGCCGAUACUGACGCUGAGGAGCGAAAGCGUGGGGAGCGAACAGGAUUAGAUACCCUGGUAAUCCACGCUGUAAACGUUGGGCGCUAGGUGUGGGGGGCCUCUCCGGUUCCCUGUGCCGCAGCUAACGCAUUAAGCGCCCCGCCUGGGGAGUACGGCCGCAAGGCUAAAACUCAAAGGAAUUGACGGGGGCCCGCACAAGCGGCGGGAGCAUGCGAAUUAAUUCGAUCCAACGCGAAGAAACCUUACCUGGGUUUGACAUGGCCCGCAAAAACGGUCAGAGAUGGCAGGUCCUUCGGGGGGCGGUCACAGGGGGGUGCAUGGCUGUCGUCAGCUCGUGUCGUGAGAAGUUUGGGGUAAAGUCCCGCAACAAGCGCAACCCCUCGUUUCGAA
RNAcentral lists this ribosomal RNA (780 nucleotides) under uncultured Actinomyces sp. RNAcentral's name for it is "bacterial SSU rRNA". It matches the Rfam family "Bacterial small subunit ribosomal RNA", at positions 330 to 1115 of the family's 1533-position model. Lineage: Bacteria; Bacillati; Actinomycetota; Actinomycetes; Actinomycetales; Actinomycetaceae. The record is from RNAcentral.